AAAGGUUAAAUUAGUUUAAUGUAAAUAAAAAGUUUAAAAGUAUUGAAGCUAAUAAGUCUAUGAUAUAAACUAGGAUUAGAUACCCUAUUAUACUUAGAUGAAAUAAAAAAGAGUUAAUUAGUAUUAGUUAUUUUCUUAAAAUUAAGAGAAUUUGGCGGUUAAUUAGUCUUGUUAGAGGAACCUGUUUUUUAAACGAUAAACCACGAAAAUCUUACUUAAGUUUGUAUACCGUCAUUAUUAGAUGAUUUUUAUUGAAAUAAUUGUUUAAAUUUAAUUUGGUUAAAUAUAUUAGAUCAAGGUGCAGCUUAUAUAUAAGUUAAAAUGGGUUACAAUAAAAUUUAUUUAUAAUGGAUUUAUUCUAAUGAAGGAGGAUUUAAUUGUAUAUAAAGUUAAUAAUUUUGUAUGAUAUCAGCUCUGAUUUAUGUACAUAUCGCCCGUCACUUUC
RNAcentral lists this ribosomal RNA (445 nucleotides) under Homola orientalis. Its description in RNAcentral is "partial 12S small subunit ribosomal RNA". Lineage: Eukaryota; Metazoa; Arthropoda; Malacostraca; Decapoda; Homolidae. The record is from RNAcentral.